Molecule: ribosomal RNA, 499 nt
Filed under: Filaroides martis
Lineage: Eukaryota; Metazoa; Nematoda; Chromadorea; Rhabditida; Filaroididae
Description: partial small subunit ribosomal RNA
Source: RNAcentral
UGGCUAGACUAGUAGAAUUUAGUCUUUAUUUUUGUUUAGAUGUAAUGUUUUUUGUUUUUGUUGAGUGGUUGAAGGUAGAAUUUUGACUUUUUUUUUUGUUUGUUUUUAUAUCUGUAAGGUUUGUUUAACGAAUUAGAUUAGUACCUAAUUAGUCAAAGUUUAUGAAUUCAGGAGUAAAGUAGUUUUUAAACUGAAAGAAUAUUGGCAGAUUUUUUAAAUUAUCUUUGGAGGUUGAACUGUGAUUGAGAACCCUCGUUAGCUACUUUUUUUUUGGGCUCAUGUAUGAUCGUUUAUUUUGUUCUUGAGGAAUUGGAUUUUUUUUUCUUGGAUUAAAAAAUAGAUAUAUAUUUGGUUUAUGAGUUGAGUUGUUUUGACCUACAGUUUGUAAAAGAUUGGAUUUUAAGUGUGGUGCUUAUUUGAAAUUGUAAAAGACAGUAAAAGAAUUUUUAUGUUUUUUUGAAGAUUUAUUUAAAAGUGGUACAAAUCAUCCAUCAAUGCU